ACUAGAGUAGCACUCGCAUAUCAAUAAGCGGAGGAAAAGAAACUAACAAGGAUUCCCCUAGUAACGGCGAGUGAAGCGGGAAGAGCUCAAAUUUGAAAUCUUAAGGGUUUCCCUUUACGAAUUGUAGUUUAAAGAAGUGUUUUCUGUUGAGGUUUUGGUAAAAGUUCUUUGGAAUAGGACAUCAUAGAGGGUGAGAAUCCCGUAUUUGACCUUUACUUUCAACUUUGUGAUACACUUUCAAAGAGUCGGAUUGUUUGGGAAUGCAGUCCACAAUGGGUGGUAAAUUUCAUCUAAAGCUAAAUAUUGGCGAGAGACCGAUAGCGAACAAGUACCGUGAGGGAAAGAUGAAAAGAACUUUGAAAAGAGAGUUAAACAGUACGUGAAAUUGUCAAAAGGGAAGCGUUUGACACCAGUGUUGUUUUUCUGAAAAUCGAUUAAAGAACUGUUUAUGCUAAGCUGUUUAGACUUUAUCAGCUAAUCUGUUUAGUUUUGAGCUUUUCUUUAAUGCACUUUUCAGUUAACAAGUCAACAUCAAUUUCUUUUGCUGUAAAAAAGCUUGAGGAAGGUGGCUUGAGAUUCGUCUUAAGUGUUUAUAGCCUCUUGCCUAUGCAGUCGGAGAGAUUGAGGUCUGCAGCGUAGAUCCUUCGGGGCUAAAUGCAUUUGUGCUAAGUUAUAGCAUUUUAUAGACAACUUGUUGACUAUGAUUUGUCUUGUAGCUUACUCGCUUAUGUUAUUUUACCUACGCUUAGGAUGUUGAGCGCAUGUCUCUCUCU
RNAcentral lists this ribosomal RNA (773 nucleotides) under uncultured Neocallimastigales. RNAcentral's name for it is "partial large subunit ribosomal RNA". It matches the Rfam family "Eukaryotic large subunit ribosomal RNA", at positions 20 to 616 of the family's 3401-position model. Lineage: Eukaryota; Fungi; Neocallimastigomycota; Neocallimastigomycetes; Neocallimastigales. The record is from RNAcentral.